UCUCGCAGAAUGACUUCCUUGAAACUUCGCCUCAUAAAUUCCCCUAUCAGACUGCCUAUCAUUCGUUCAUUAACCUCUCUGAUAAAGACUCGACACGCGUGUUUCAAAAUCGAUCAAUAACCCUUGGAAAAGACCUCGAAAAGCUCAUAAAAUUUCUCUCAACUCAUACCUCAAUCUGCAUGCAAAUAAUCCCCCAAUUUUCCCCUCCAUUCCUCAAUCAAUCGAUCGACAACCGAUAUGAAAGAAAGAGGAAUGCAUAACUAACUCAUCCAAUAAAUCCCGAUUGGCAAAAACAUCCGCUGAACUCACCAAUUAAACUCCGACGGAGCCAUUAUACUCCAGGUAAGACUGAUCAGCUGUUUCUCAAUUCCUCAAUGAACUUUGUAUAAAGAUUAUUCACAAGUGUCUAUUGGUUGGGAAUUUUAUCACUCCUUCAGAGGUUCUCUCAAGUUCGAAUACCACAAGAUGCAUCUCUCUAUAAAUGUUAAUGCCAAGGGAUUUUCGCAAGUGUUGAGUUGUUAUUUAACGCCCACGGUGAAUACUAUUUUUCGAUUACACGGGAGUAGAUAUUCUGUCGAACAUCUGUUUACUUCUGAUUUUCCGCGUUAAAAGGCUAUGGAUAUUUCCGUUAUUUCCUGGGUGCGGUUUUAGCGGUGUUAAAUUCUCUCGUUUCACGUAUUUUCCGGAAUAACUCAUUACUUUCCGCGUUUUUUAAAAUGCGUAAUAAUGCGUACAAUAGGCUCCAGCGAGACAGCUGACCAUACAAGCCAUUUUGCAAUCGCAUUAAUGUUUUUAUGAAGAUUGAGUUAUCCUCUUUUUGCUGGUUUAUCCUCGUUUAAUAGCACUGGACAUUGUAAAUAGCACAGGCACUUGUGAAUUCUCUGAGAGUCACGUUUUCAUAUCACGGGGCUUUAUUGAUAGAAUCCCAACACAUUAACUUUUUUUUCCAUUUUUUUGUUAGGGAAUUUCUCAACGCAGAAAAAUACACACUGGAAUGUCGAUAGAUUGUCAUAGGUACUGGAGAAAGGUCUACGGCACUGACAGAUUAUGGAUUUGUUGGUUUUGAUGAGAGACGGAGACAUCUGGCGGGGAUGAAGGAUCUCUCUGAUUUUAUACUCGGGUGAUAAUAGAGGUUUGAAUUGCCCACUUUUCAGAACAUCUAUACCUCCUACAUGCAUCCGCGAAUAUGAAAUGAUGAGAUGAGUCAUUUCACUCCGAUUGAUUAAUCACAGGGUAUUAAGAGAUGU
Fopius arisanus is the source of this 1247-nucleotide long non-coding RNA. RefSeq lists it as uncharacterized. Lineage: Eukaryota; Metazoa; Arthropoda; Insecta; Hymenoptera; Braconidae. The record is from RefSeq and is a predicted model, not a curated record. The transcript is spliced from 3 exons.